UCGUUUUCAUUUCUUCUUCACCGCAGAGAAAAAUAGAGGCAAAGAGCAGUCUAGAGCAGAGGCAGAUAGCUCCAUUCUAUCACCAGAUUCAUCACCAGAUUCAUAUCCAUUUUCUUCUAUUCUUCUUCUUCAUCAUCUUAUAAUCAACUACUUCAGCACCAAACGGCCAUGCAACAUUCUACUUCAGCACCUUCGGAAGUGAAUCUUUGAUAUUUAAUGAUGUUCUUUUUUUGUUUUCUUAUUUCUGAACACUGGGUUUUUAUUAAUUUUAGUAAUUAAGGUUAAUAUGUGGGAGAAUUUGAUUGAUUUACUCGUUUUGUAUGUUUGAUAUUCAUGUUUUAGUGGUUGAAAUGAAAAUUUGUGCCUCUGAUUAUGUUACACAAUUAAGGGUCUUUCUCGAUUUUGAAGGUGAUUGUUGCAAUUGGUAAGAUUUCAUUUGAGAAACCUGCAUCCAAGAGAUCUAAGAAGCAAUAAAGUCUGACUUUUGGUUGGUUAGGUUUUGUAUUGGGUUUUCAAUUUUAUGUGAGGAAUUGAACAUACAUAUCAGGCUAUGUUGGUGUUAUGGAUUUGUGUUUAUUAAUUGCAGGAAGCAUCCAUCAUAGAUUCUAAUGGAGGGAAAGGAUAUGAAAAGAACUAGGUGUGCUAAAAUUGGGAGCUCCAAACAAGAUUGUUGCGCUGAAAUGACAAGCACUGGUUGUUGUAGCUCUUAUGGGAUUGAUUGAUUGAUUCAACUCAAAAGUUGGAGUUGAAGUGAUGUAUGAUGUUGUAUAUGCUCCUGGUGUUAUGGAUAUUGGGAGUAACAAGCUUUAUGUCUCUAAGGACUCUAUUGGAGUGGCAAGUGCAGUUGGAGACUUUGGAUGCCCGCCCUUUCAUGCCAUCAAGAACAACCAUCUUUACUAAAUCUGUUGGACUUUAUGUGUUAGUUAUUAGAUUUUUUGUUUUAGUUAUCUCUGUUGGAGUGUCCGAUGUAUUUGACAUUUUAAAACAAUUAGUUUUCACAGACAGGUUAAUUUAUAAUUUUCUGUCUUUAGUAAAA
Papaver somniferum (opium poppy) is the source of this 1036-nucleotide long non-coding RNA. RefSeq lists it as uncharacterized. The transcript has 3 exons. Lineage: Eukaryota; Viridiplantae; Streptophyta; Magnoliopsida; Ranunculales; Papaveraceae. The record is from RefSeq and is a predicted model, not a curated record.